RNAcentral lists this long non-coding RNA (385 nucleotides) under Lathyrus oleraceus (garden pea). Its description in RNAcentral is "Pisum sativum (pea) long non-coding RNA (PSAT_LNC019745)". The record is from RNAcentral. Lineage: Eukaryota; Viridiplantae; Streptophyta; Magnoliopsida; Fabales; Fabaceae.
AAAAUAAUAAUAGUAGAAAAAAGAGCCCGCUAAGUCGAGAGCUUGAAAAGCGACUUAGGCAAAAAUUGGGGCAUCCCGGUGGGAUGAAAACUCGAAAGAGCGGUCCAUGAAAAAAUUAGGAAUAAAAAUAAAAAAAAAUAAAAAAAGAGGUCACCAAAGUCCUUAAAAAAAAGAACAAGAUUAGGUGACCACCAUAUCAAAACAAGAAAAUCAAACACAAAAAUAGGUGAUUGCCACUUCAAGAAAAUAUCAUAAGUUCUUGAGCCAUUAUCUUCACCUCUACACCAUCAAAGUUCUCUUGGAAAUCUUAUAAAUGUGUUGAACUAAUUUAACAUAGGAAUGGAGAUCAUUAGAAGGAGAAUGAGUGGGUUAAAAUUAAAAUUUU